AGAAAAGUUACCACUGAUUUGGGACAUGACCUUCUAAAGUCAAAAUGGCCUGCAUUCAAGGUAGCUGAUCUGAACUCUCAGAAGACUCAUUUUGUAUGUGCUGUCAUUAGAUUAUAUGUCAACGGGAACAAAUGGCCUAGAUGUUUCUCUAUUAACAUUUCCAAAUUUAAACUAUAAGGCCUUUUUGAGGUAGGAAAAAAGAAUAAUGGAGAAUUUUUACUUAGAAUUUAUAUUAGUUUGCCUUCUGUCUCAUAAAAAGACUCUUCAGAAGAUUUUUAAAAACCACCUUUUUUUGUAAUAAUGUAAACAAGCAUCACACUUUCAAAAGAACAACACAUUUUGUCAUAUAGCAGCUAAAAGAAGUACUACAAACUAUUCCAGAAUAUAUCAAGUACUGAAUUACAAUCAAAACACUGACAAUAUAACAGCAGUAGGAAUGGAGCUAUUAUAAUUAACCCUCUUACAACAGAAGAUAUAAUCUGAAACAAACAGCAGAUAUAGUAACAAUUUUACUUUUUUUAACUUUUAGUUACUUAUUUUUUACAACAUAAGGCAAAGAAAAUUACUCCAUGUCAAUGUCUUCCCUAUAACUUUUUUAAAAGUAAUUUGUUUCACAGCUGUACAUACAAAUGAAUGCAUUAGUCAAAUCUCAUCUCUACAUAUGCACACCUGAACAUUUCUGAGGUUUAUUAAUUACUUGUGAAACAUUCUCAUAAGCUAUUGCAAUUAAGCAAGCUCCAUGCUCUGUAACAUAUAAACAGUUUCAGCCUUUUUUUUUUUUAAUGGAUAAAAUAAUAGUAAUUUCCAAUUAUGAAGUGGUCCAUCUCCCUAAGCACCAAUGAAUCUAUGAGUUCAAUAUCAUAGGAGUGUUUUCUUCUACUCUCCAACUCCUAAUGUCUACUGAAGACACUUGAGAAUUUUCUAGUGUCAUACAUUCGAAUGGAAAAAAUGAGUAAUUUAGGGUAGGAGAAUCCUCUCUUUAUAGAUAUUUUUAUAAAAUUUAUUUGGCUAUUAGCAAUCAAGUUUAACAAAAUGUAGGCACCCAAAUUCUCCAAAUCUUGAACAGAACUUGAACAGAACUCAAGUGAAGCUUUCACUGCUCAGAAUUCUAAAUGUGUUAUACCAAUAUGUGUACAGAAAAAUACUGUAUACUAAAAAACAAAAACCCACAAUCCCCAAAAAAACAAAAACCAAUCUUUGUAAUACAGGUUAAAUACUAUUACAAAAAACUCCCAGAUGUUAAAACUGUAUCAUUACUUAGAUGGGUCUGUGAUAGGAAAAUGUUACAAACAACAAUGAAGUACAGACUGGGUAAAAACGAAUGAAUUAACCAAAAGAGUAAAUUAUGAACUUUAACCAACAAGAAAGCACAACACUAGUCAUUGUGCACUUUCCUCUAGUUUAGUAACCAAAAAAACCUAUAAGCUUGGUCUAGUAAAUGCCUUUAAGAGGUGUGUUGCAGUAUGAAGCCCCAGUGUAUAUGGGAAUGAUAGAAGUACAGAAGGCCGGAUGCCAUAGCACGAGUGCUAGAUACCAGAGUUCAAAUACUGUCCCUGACAUUACUGUGACAAUUAAUAAACUGGUUCUUUAAUCUUGCAAAAAGGGAAUACUUUCACGAUUGAUCUCAGAGGGUUUUAUGAGGAAAGCAUUUUUAAAAAACUAUCACGUGCUUAAUAAAUGAAAUAUUGUUAUUUUAUAAGAAGUAUUAUGAACUUAUUAACCUAUAUAAGAAACUGGGCCAAGUAAGGCUGUGGAUUUAAAGUGGGGAAAAAAUAGAACCACCUUGGAGGUGUGGGGAAGAAAAGAAUAAACAGAGGAAAUACAAAUUUCAAUAAGAUAAACAGAGAUUUCAUCAAACUGCAUUCUAUUUUAAAGAACCUGAAAUAUAAACUGAUAAAAAUAUGGCAAAGUAAUUCUAUUUAUAGUCUGUAGUUAUACAUUAAGAUCAAUAAAUACAGCAUUUGUUCAAAUGACAUGGACAAUAAGCCCAAUCUAUCAAAGAACUUAGAUUUCCAAGUAAACUUUUAAAGAAAGGGAAACGGGGUAUUAGCAUUUAAAAAAAAAAAGGCUCAAAAAAUGCAUAAAGUUCAAUGAAGAUUACCAAAUACUGAGAAUAGCCACAUCUUCAAAUACGUUUCAAAAAAAAAAUUCACAUAAUGGGGAAUCAGCUAUGGUGAAAUUACUGUAGACUUAAAGCUAUUUAAAUAUAAGAAUUCAAUUACUAAAGAUCAGAUCUCAUUAGGACAAUUAUCAGUUAACUACAUACCUAACAUGGCUAAUUCUGUUAUAGGCUCCACCGGACUCCUUUAUCUCAAAAGUUUUUGUAGUCCUCUUUUAGUAAAGGAGAUAAUUACUUUAAAAAAACUGGGAGUUAUAUAAUAUAUACAAUACUAUGUAAGACAGACAUUUAUUAGAUGAACUUAAUAGUCAUUGCAAAUUAAUUUUAGGCACUUCUUGAACACAAACUGUGAAUACUGUCUCCCAAAAACAUUACAAGCUUUCAAUACAUUAUGGGACUUAAUCCUUUGAUCAUAUAUAUUAUAUAUAUUGCAUGACAUUUCAAGUUUGGACUUUUUGAGUCUGGAACUGUGAUUUAAUUGGUAGAAAAUUCCUAGUAUUGGAAAUCCCCCCUGCCAAUGCUGACAGCAACUCUUCUGAAAUUUAUAGUUUUAGAAUCAGGAAGCUCUAAAUUCAAAUCUGACAUAUAUUGAUAGUAUGACCCUCUGAAGCCCACCUCUUUAUCCAAUAUGUGUUGCUGUAGCUUAAUUCUGUUAAAUUAAGAUUUAACAGGAAAGACUAAGUUUUAAUCAAUAGAAUCUUAAGUUUUAAAAUGAAACCAUUAAUUCUUUGGGGAAGUUACAGAGUGAAAGUUAUUUUUGAAAUAUUUUUGGUUUUUGUAUAAAUGAAAUUGUUCAUAAUGUGCAGAAGUAAAUAGCACACAAUGCUAUAGUUAAGAAUUCCAUUAAAGUAAAUAACUUUCUCUUAGACUUCAUUUAUUUUAUGCUUAUUUUAUAAAGACCAGGAAAAUGCAAUGCUCCUUUUCAGAGAAAAGUCAUGUCUCCUAAAUUAAGAUUGUUUUUCAUUUUUAAAAAAGUUGCAUAAUAAACAAAAACAUAACUUGCUUUAACCCACCUAAUGUAAAAAGAAUGAUGAAUAAUCACUAUCAAUAUCUGUGAGCCUUCAUUUUUUCUGAGAAUUAAAAUGAACUACUUCAAACUGAAGGACUAUAAAGAUGAACUUUCAAUCUUCACCAGUGAGUCUGAAAACUUUUCCUCCUAACAAACCUGCACAACCACAAGAACUUUCAUGCGUUUCAAAGGAAAAAAAUUUCUUUUCUAAGUGCAACACAUCCUAUUGUGUUCUCAUGUCACUCUAACAGCAGCCUGGGGAAACUAUUCAAACUACCGCUUUGAUACAUGGUUUUAAAAUCUAAUUUAAAAUAUCCUUCUUUUAAACUUUCAUGAUUUCAUCAAUAUGGAUUCCUUCCCUGAUGUGGAUUACAGUUUUUCUUCUAGAGUUCCUGUGGUUGAAAAAAAUCUCUCCAAAUUUAGCUAGACUAGUCCUCAAGCAAUAAAAAUAUACUUCAUCACUGAGCACAACACAAAACUUUUCCAACUUGGUAAGACCAAGUAUAUUUAAAAUAUAUUUUUAUUUAAAUUGUGUAUUUAACAAUAUACAAUAAAUUUGGAAAAUAAAACAUUAGGAAGAGAGUAUACUGUCAUCAAUAUGACUUGGAGGAAGCCAUUAGAGGGACCAAAAUAAAAAAAAAAAAGUCAAAGAAAGAACUAGAAAGAUGCUGUGUGGCCCUACUUUAAAAAAACUCUCAGCUACAAUUUCCGAAAAUUUGGUCUAAAAUACCAUCUGCAUUAGAUAAAUAACUAUAACUUCUUUUUCCUUACAGAUGACGGGAAAAAGUUUGAAAGUAUCUAGAGUUUGAGAAUCAAUUAAGCUUGACUCAAUAAAGGUCUAUAAUCGAUAGCCCAUCUUCAAAAGCAUAUUGACCUUUAUAUAAUUAAAACUGUCAUGCUGCCAUUUUAAGCCUGAAAAUGUAUAAUGGUUAUAAAAACAUAAAACACAAUGUUCUUAAUGUUAAACACUGAAGUGAUCUACCAAACCACAUGCUUCUGGCUUAGUUAAAAUUUUAUUAUUUUUAUAACAUAUUUUGGUAGUAAUGAUCUUUAAAUCCGUAUUACUAUUUAUGAUAUGUACAUUUAUUUCUCCCUAUAAUUCCAUUAAUUUUGAAAAGAUUCACAUUGUUUUAAAAUUAUUUCUUGUACAAUUUGGAUUAUAUUGUUUUGAAAUAGUUGGGAUUUUAAAGUUAAACCAAUAUAAUAUGCAGGGAUUUUUAAAUAAUAAUAAUAUUAGUAUAAUAGUUGUUCAUGGUUAUGUCAGAGGCUUAUGUUUUGACUUUUAACAAAUCUUUUUAAAAAUAUCAAUUCAACAUUUAUAGCACUCUGAGCAACAGUAUUAUAAAUGGCAAUAAAGUUUAAUAUAGAUUACUUCAAAAGUCACCAUGCAAAACCAUUUUGAAAUCAUAAUAAACAUUCAGAAAAAUUCAGAACUAGUUACCUAGUUAUUAAGCAAUAUAUUAAGUGGGAAUAAAUCUCUUAGUUAUAAUUUUAACUGUUCUCAAAAUACUGAUGUUUUAAAACUUAAAAAAAGUAAAAACAACUUCUUGCCUUCCAUAGCAGACCAUUACAAACCAAUGGCAGAACCUCCACAUUUCAGUGACUAGGAUAGUAUGCUUUACUCUUGAAGAUGUCAAAUUUAUUUAAUAGUUGUCAUAUAAUUUAAGGUAUGUACAGUGAUUCUAAUUAAAACCCAAUACUUCAGAAUUUUUGAAGGGUCACACCAUUUGAUAGACGUAUUUCUCAUUUUUUUCCCUCAUAAUUGGCUCUGAAAAUUCACUUCCUAAAUUAUAUUCUCAUAAUUUAAAGUAUAAGAUUACUUACUUAAAUAGGCAAUAAGUCCUUUUAAAAAAAAUAAUAAAAGAACAUUCUGGAAAUAAAUUAGUGGCAGUUGGUAAUAUUAAAUCAACUACUACAUAAGAAUUCCACUCCAGUGUACCAUAUCUUUUUGUGUGUGUUUAGGAAAUCAUCUGACCCCCCUUCCACUCCAAAACCCUAAAUUUAGACACUUUCAGCUUUCUUUUCUUUUUUUAAAGAAGCAGUGCAAAAUUUUUCUGGGUAGGUUAAUACAAUACAGAGAACAUGAAGACAAAGUAUAAGUGACAUGUCAACAUCUAUGUACUGGUUUCAUUUUAGGUUAGGUAUAUUAUUUACCUUUCUCUAGUAUAUAAAUCAAAGCCAUUAACCUAAAUUGGAAGUAUACACACAAUACAUAUACAAACUGAUGCAAAACAUCUUUCUCAUAUGUAACAUUAC
This is a long non-coding RNA of Sarcophilus harrisii (Tasmanian devil), 5384 nucleotides long. The record is from Ensembl. Lineage: Eukaryota; Metazoa; Chordata; Mammalia; Dasyuromorphia; Dasyuridae.